CCUACGGGUGGCAGCAGUGGGGAAUAUUGCUCAAUGGGGGAAACCCUGAUGCAGCGACGCCGCGUGAGUGAAGAAGUAAUUCGGUAUGUAAAGCUCUAUCAGCAGGGAAGAAAAUGACGGUAUCUAACAAAUAAGCCCCGGCUAACUACGUGCCAGCAGCCGCGGUAAUACGUAGGGGGCAGGCGUUACCCGGAUUUACUGGGCGUAAAGGGAGCGUAGACGGGAGGGCAAGUCAGAUGGGAAAGGCGGGGGCUCAACCCCCGGACUGCUGUGGAAACUGUACGGCUGGAGUGCAGGAGAGGUAAGUGGAAUUCCUAGUGUAGCGGUGAAAUGCGUAGAGAUCAGGAGGAACACUAGUGGCGAAGGCGGCUUACUGGACUGUAACUGACGUUGAGGCUCGAAAGCGUGGGGAGCAAACAGGAUUAGAUACCCCUGUAGUC
Molecule: ribosomal RNA, 440 nt
Filed under: uncultured bacterium
Lineage: Bacteria
Description: partial 16S ribosomal RNA
Rfam family: Bacterial small subunit ribosomal RNA
Source: RNAcentral